Molecule: long non-coding RNA, 1562 nt
Organism: Apus apus (common swift)
Lineage: Eukaryota; Metazoa; Chordata; Aves; Apodiformes; Apodidae
Exons: 2
Source: RefSeq, a predicted model, not a curated record
CAUGGAUUUACUCUAGAUGGAUCGGUAAGAGUCCAUGUCUUUCCUGUGCUGAGGCCUCCAGAGGUGUAUGCAGUAUUCCAGGUGCAGUCUAGACAGAGCAGAGGGGCAGAAUUGCCUCUCUCGACCUCCUGGCCAUACUUCUUUUUGAUGCAGCCCUGGACAUCAUUGGAUUUCUGGCCUGCAAGCACACACUGGCAGCUCAUGUUGAGCUUCUCAUCUGCUGCCAACCUCAGGUCCUUUUCCCCAGGGCUGCUCUCUAUUCAUUCUCUCCCCAGCCUAGGAUUGCACUGACCCAGAUGCAGGACCUUGCCUUUGGCUUUGUUGAACUUCAUGAGUUUGGCAUUGGCCCACCUCUCAAGCCUGUCAAGGUCCCUCUGGAUGGCAUCCCUUCCCUCUAGCAUGUCAACCACUCCAUGCAGACAUCACAAAUAUGAUGAACAGAGGCUUAGCAACUGCAUCUGCCAGCUCCUUCAGGACCUGUGGAUGGAUCUCAUCAGGUUCCAUAGUCUUCAGGUUCUUUAGAUGGUCUUCUACAGCAGGGGAUACUUCAUUCUCCCAGUCCCUGCUUUCACCUGCUGGGACCUUUGAAAUGAGGCUGGAGCACUUGCCAGUGAAGACAGAUGCAAAGAAGUAAUUGAGAACCUCAGCCUUCUCAAUAUUCUUUCUUGCACCCAGAAGUUCUGUGAAGCUGGAUGGGAAACUCCAAAUAUCUAGUCAUAACCAUAGAUGAGAUUUCUGACUGUGGAUACUGUGACUCUGCUGGACUUAGCCUGUGAAGAUACUUGUGCAGUUAGUUCCCCGUUGAACUUGGGUACAUUGAGGAAAGAGUUCCAAUGCAUUGCCAUAAAUUGGCAACCAGGUCUUUGUUCUGAUGACUCAAACUCUUGUAACUCAAAUAUGCUUAUUUAAAAUAGUAUGUGAGAUUUGGGAUAAACAGAUCAGUAGUUUUAUAAUUCUGAAGCAUGCAGUGAUCUUGAGACAUCCUUUAUAAGGAAAGGCUGGAAAUUUGUUACUGAUUUUUUUCACUGGGAGUCAGUGAAGAGGGUUAUGAAGUCUCACCAAGCAAUAGUGACAAGAGUUUGCCUUUUCCAAGCAAGGAAGUUAAUAUCAUCAAUUGUAUGAUGAUAUAUAAAUGAUUGAAUAGUAAUCAUAACUGUAAGUAAUCCCAAUUGUUUGAAAAUGUUUUGUGUUGAGGAGAACACUUCCAUAAGUUCUCGCUAUCAGCAUGUCAAGAAAGAUUUGCCGAAAUGGUAUGUGGAGACUUUUGUUUUCUGAAUAAGCAGACGGGAAGACUGUCAUCUUGCCAGAACAUGAAAUGAAAGGGGGAAGAAAGAAAAGUUAUAUUAAUUUUUUUACCCUGGUUUUUCUCCAUUAGCAGAUUUCAGAUUCCUUUCAGCUUUUACAAUGGAGUGGGUGGAAUAGACAAGUAUUUUUGUAUUGUGUUUUUUUUGAUUGAAGUUAGUAAUGCUGUAGGACAGGAUCUCAAUGAAUAUUUUUAAAAAGUUUUUUCUUUUCUUCCAGUCUAGGCAAUCCAUAUUUUAAAUAAAAUUUAACUUAUGCUA